GGNGGGUUUGGAUAUGUGGUGACCCAGCAACGCCGCGUGAAGGAAGAAGGCUUUCGGGUUGUAAACUUCUUUGACGAGGGAAGAAAGAAAUGACGGUACCUCGAAAACAAGCCACGGCUAACUACGUGCCAGCAGCCGCGGUAAUACGUAGGUGGCAAGCGUUAUCCGGAUUUACUGGGUGUAAAGGGCGCGUAGGCGGGACGUCAGAUCAAGUGUGAGGUGUGGAGGCCCAACCCUCAAGCUGCAUUUGAAACUGUGGUUCUUGAGUAUCGGAGAGGCAGGCGGAAUUCCAAGUGUAGCGGUGAAAUGCGUAGAUAUUUGGAGGAACACCAGUGGCGAAGGCGGCCUGCUGGACGACAACUGACGCUGAGGCGCGAAAGCGUGGGGAGCAAACAGGAUUAGAUACCCUGGUAGUCCACGCUGUAAACGAUGAAUACUAGGUGUGGGGGGACUAACCCCCUCCGUGCCGGAGUUAACACAAUAAGUAUUCCACCUGGGGAGUACGGCCGCAAGGUUGAAUUUAGG
This 525-nucleotide ribosomal RNA is filed under the name uncultured Lachnospiraceae bacterium. RNAcentral's name for it is "bacterial SSU rRNA". It matches the Rfam family "Bacterial small subunit ribosomal RNA", at positions 358 to 905 of the family's 1533-position model. Lineage: Bacteria; Bacillati; Bacillota; Clostridia; Lachnospirales; Lachnospiraceae. The record is from RNAcentral.